This 483-nucleotide ribosomal RNA is filed under the name uncultured bacterium. Its description in RNAcentral is "partial 16S ribosomal RNA". It matches the Rfam family "Bacterial small subunit ribosomal RNA", at positions 28 to 507 of the family's 1533-position model. The record is from RNAcentral.
AUUGAACGCUGGCGGCAUGCUUUACACAUGCAAGUCGAACGGCAGCGCGGGCUUCGGCCUGGCGGCGAGUGGCGAACGGGUGAGUAAUGCAUCGGAACGUGCCCAGUAGUGGGGGAUAGCCCGGCGAAAGCCGGAUUAAUACCGCAUACGACCUGAGGGUGAAAGCGGGGGACCGAAAGGCCUCGCGCUAUUGGAGCGGCCGAUGUCGGAUUAGCUAGUUGGUGGGGUAAAGGCUUACCAAGGCGACGAUCCGUAGCUGGUCUGAGAGGACGACCAGCCACACUGGGACUGAGACACGGCCCAGACUCCUACGGGAGGCAGCAGUGGGGAAUUUUGGACAAUGGGGGCAACCCUGAUCCAGCCAUGCCGCGUGCGGGAAGAAGGCCUUCGGGUUGUAAACCGCUUUUGUUCGGGAAGAAAUCCUCUGGGCUAUACCCCGGGGGGAUGACGGUACCGGAAGAAUAAGCACCGGCUAACUACGUG